GAGCUCGCCAUCCCCCUGGACCUCGGGUCACCGCCACCUUGAUCUCCCGGGGUGGACCGAGAGGGACCGGUGACGUCAUCAGCUGCCAAGGCCACGUCAUCUCUGGACACGUGCCUGACUCACAGCUGAACUCAGAUAAUUCCCAGUUUGCCCCGGUUGGGUUCACUGCCUCUCUCUCUCUCUGCGCCAGAUAAACGGCCGGCCGAACUCCAAUACAAGAGCCAGGAGGAGUUCAUAAACCAGAACUCAUCUAAGUCAACUGGAGUGCAACUAGAAAAGAUAAUACAGAAGAAGAGUUCAGGACACAACAAGGGCAAGAUUUCUCCCGGCGCUGCCGAGGGUCACUCAGACUGUGACAGACGGUCAAUGUGUUCAUGAGAGUGAGAGAGAGCGGGAAAAGAGCGCUGCACACAGCUCUACUAUGAAGCAGAGCAACAAAACACUCAACACCUCUUCAACCUAUGCAGCAUUUGUUGUUGUUGCAUCAUGUUGCGUCAGGUCCAGUGCGUCACUCAACUUCCUCAUCUUGCAGUGUGAGAGACAAAGCGCUGGCCUGCACGCCGACAAGCCUCCCCGGCCAGCUACAGUAAACUGGGUGACGUGAUAAGUCGUGAUUAUACCUGCAGACGUGUCUUGCGAUAUAUUAAAGUAGUGGAAAAGAGACAUUUGGAGGUCAUUGGAGUUGACGUCUGUCCACUGAAGAGACGUCUCGGAGAGGCUCUUGUCGAGACUGGCCGGCCUGGCCGCGAGCCUGCCGCGCCACGUUUUUUCGCCAUCCCGUGUAACCAUGCCGACAGGAUUGGGCCGGGGUCCAGGAAGACAGUCGGCUCUGGAAGCUGUCAGCAGCAGCUCCGUUUGACGGCAUGCAAAUGUAUGCAAAUGAAGAGGUCCAACCAUGACACCUGCACACAGGAGGAAUGGACCGUGCCCUUCCCAGCAGAGGACUCUGGAAAACAGAUGCCAUCCAGCACAAUGUCGAGUCAGCCAAAUGUUUCUCAGAGGUUUCUGGUGGCACGGGCGAGUGACUGAGAGCUUCCUGAAGUGGCGGCUCAGUUUUAUCUCACUUCCACAGCUGCGUGUGGUGAGGCUGGCAGCUCACACGGUGGAAAACUGUUUUCAGACAUGAACUCCAGAAAAUAUUCGGAAAACCGCGUGUGGACAGUUUCUGGAGUUUGCCGUUCACAUAUGAAAAAGGAUUGUCAGAGUAGGACGUGUUCGGGACAGCAAAAAGAUUUCAGGUUGAGUCCCUUUGUCCAAGCGUCCCAGCUGCCAGCAGCAUCAUAUCUGGCAGGCCCACUGCCAGGGGACAGACAUGAGCGUGACAUGGUCAACGAACCAUAUGGGACGUCAUUCGUACACUCAAAGUCAUGGAGGCCCUCAUGCCGGAGUCAUUCAAAGUGCUGUCCACCCACCAGACAACUGGUCCCCGAAGCACACCCCUCUGACACCCCUGUGUUUCUUCUUGGUUGAUUCACGUCCCAGUCCUGCGCUCCUCUGAUUCACUUUGAUGUUUAAUCCCAUCCUGACUGUGUCCUCCUUCAGUCCGCGGAGCCGCUCGGCCAGUCAUGAAUAUCCAAAGGAUGAAUGUGCAGUCGGACGUGCAGGUGUCCACAGAUUCAUCGCUCCUUGGUGACAUUGUCAGUUUCAGGCUCUCCACAAGAUGUUGACCCAGACUGCAGGCACCGGCCCAAAGACGGGACUUUUGCUGCAGCAGAGAAAUAUUGUAUUUCCCGACAUGAUUUGCUGCUGAGCCCAAGGAAAAUACCAGCUAUACGCACGCGAGGAAGAUUCAGACUCACAUUACCCCUUUGCACGCUGAACCUCACAGGAGACGAGGGAUGGUUUCGGCAACAUGAAAGUUAAAAUGAAUCCAAACUUCUCCUUUCCCUCACUGCUUCCUGUGAUGAUCAGAGCAUCGCCUCGCUCUUCUCUCCCCGUUAAUGAUGCGGAGAGUUUGACCACCGGUCAGCGAGGGGCCGAGUCUGAGGGACUCCUCCUCCCCACCUCCUCUCAUCUUCUCCUCUGAUCACCGAGCCGCAUCUCUGCCUUGUUAGUAACGUCCAUCUCACUUUCUCUGACCUGUCAUGUCAAUCUCGGGCCCACACACACACACACACACACACACACACACACACACACUCCCUGGCCCGCAGGUCAGGGUGCACGCUCGCACGCGCUCGCACGCAGACUGACUGACACACUCCCCUACUCACCGGCAAUUUGUUGCCCCGUGACAUCACAUUGUGUGUGGAAGCCGCACUGGCACCGGGCUGCAGCUUCGUUAACUUUCCUCUUUAAUGAGCAGUUUAAUUGAGCUGUCUAGCAAGGCCACCUGUCGGCCCGCGGCCUCAUUUCCAUACUAAUGGGGCCGGAUUGUUGCUGCUGUGACAGCUCAAGCUGCACUGGCCUAACAGGCACCGGGGAGAGGGAGAGGGAUGGAGAGGGACGGAGAGGCCAAGUAGGGAAAGAAGGGGAUGGAAGCCCACACACUGGAAGAGAGGGAUUUCCAGAGAAUGGGGAGAAGAGAAGGAGUAACAAAAAAAGGGUUGUCGCUUUAAAGGAUAAGCAAUUUUUUCUACCAAAAACCAACAAUCUACCAAUAACACUGAACUGAUGCAUCAACUGUUUUGUCAAGAACUGUACUGAAGAAGCGCGCCAGCAAUCCACAGCGUUGCCCCGGGCUGACGCGCUCCUUCGCGCCCAUGAGCAACAAUGUGUACGCUGGCAGAGCUCCACCUGUCCGAGGUUCAGAGACGUCUCCAGCGAGUGACGUGAGAAAGAAAACGGAGCUCAGAUGCUGUGGGGAAAUUACUGAACCUUUCAAUUCUGAAAGCCACAGUGUGACAAAAUCUGGAAGAACUUAUUCACGGAAAAAUGAGCAUAUUGUCCAUAACUAUGUUUUCAUAUAUGUAUUAUCGCUGAUGUCCAAAUGAGUUAAAUAUAGUUCCGUGGGGUGG
Long non-coding RNA from Scophthalmus maximus (turbot), 2957 nucleotides. RefSeq lists it as uncharacterized. The transcript is spliced from 16 exons. Lineage: Eukaryota; Metazoa; Chordata; Actinopteri; Pleuronectiformes; Scophthalmidae. The record is from RefSeq and is a predicted model, not a curated record.